This 235-nucleotide long non-coding RNA is filed under the name Lathyrus oleraceus (garden pea). RNAcentral's name for it is "Pisum sativum (pea) long non-coding RNA (PSAT_LNC007719)". Lineage: Eukaryota; Viridiplantae; Streptophyta; Magnoliopsida; Fabales; Fabaceae. The record is from RNAcentral.
AUAUUUACAAUCCACAGGGAUGCCCUAAUUUUUUCCUAAGUCACUCGUUUUCAAGUUUUCGACUUAGCGAGCUUUAUUUAUUUUGAUUUCUGAUUUUUUUUCUUUUUGUUCAUUCUUUUUGUUGAAACAAAUCGUGUGACACUUGUCCGUUUGAUUUGGAAGGGGUUGUAACUGCCUCGCGCCUCUAUGGGUGAGGGACAACCGUUUGGAAUUUGGUUUUCGACCUCUUGUGAGG